UGUACAAGUUCAUGCCCCUUGAAACUGGGCGAAACCGCGAAUGGCUCAUUAAAACAGUCAUAAUCUAUUUGAUAUUGAAAGUUACAUGGAUAACUGUGGUAAUUCUAGAGCUAAUACAUGCACAAAAAAGGCAACUGUUGGGUAACUAACAGAAGCUUUGCGUUUAUUAGACUAAGACCAAUGAUUGGGGCAACCCAAUCUCUUUUAUGGUGACUCUGAAUAAAUAAUGGGUGAAAGCCCAUGAUGCUGACCCUCGCAAAGGCCUUACGGCUGAGGGCAAAUCAUUCGAGUGUCUGCUCUAUCAACUGUGGAUGGUAGGAUAUAUGCCUACCAUGGUGGUAACGGGUAACGGGGAGUUAGGGCUCGACUCCGGAGAACAAGCCUGAGAAACGGCUAGUAGGACUAAGGUCUGCAGCAGGCGCGAAACUUACACAAUGGGAGCACAUCCCUGAUGUAGUGAAGGAAAAUAACGAUGUAUCUCUCAAUACUGAGUGAUACAAUUGGAAUGAGACGACUGUAAAUAUGUUAGUCGAGUAACAAAUGGAGGGCAAGUCUGGUGCCAGCAGCCGCGGUAAUUCCAGCUCCAUUAGCGUAUAUUAAAGUUGUUGCGGUUAAAAAGCUCGUAGUUGAAAUUAGCUUGGUUUUUCAUCACUCGUUUCCGUUCUAACGGCCUCUGUUUAAUACACAGUGUGCCUAGGUUGCGUAGUGGACGUAAAGCCAAUGUUUCGUCACUUUACACGAGUGCGAAGCGGGGCGUUGUAUAGCGGAAACUUGUUUCCUGCUUAUAGCGCCAAGUUUACCUUGAGAAAAUUAGAGUGCUCACAGCAGGCAGUUGGGGUGUAAAAGCCCUUUAAUGCUUGAAUAAUGUUGCAUGGAAUAAUAGAAUACGGCCUCGGUUCUAUUCUGUUGGUCUUAUAGAACAACAAAAAAGUUGGUAUUUGCACCAAAGCUUGUUUUAAUGUUGGUUCGUUUAUUUUAUCUGGUUUCUUGUUUAUGUUGCCUAGAUGUAACAGUUUAGUGCCAUGGCAAGUCUAGUUUGAAGUAUCGUUCUAUUAAAGGCAUUUUUACAAGUAAGCAAUUCGCCAACUGAGGCAAUGGUUAAAAGAAAUAGUCGCGGCGACAUCAGUACUGCAUCGCUAGAGGUGAAAUUCUUAGACCGAUGCAAGACUAACUGAAGCGAAAGCGUUUGUCGAGGAUGUUUUCAUUAAUCAAGAACGAAAGUUAGAGGUUCGAAGGCGAUCAGAUACCGCCCUAGUUCUAACCAUAAACGUUGCCAACUAGCAAUUGGCCUGAAUUCUAUUUUUAUAAAUUGAAUGAUUCGGCCAGCGGCUCUAGGGAAACCAAAGUCUUUGGGUUCCGGGGGAAGUAUGAUUGCAAAGUUGAAACUUAAAGGAAUUGACGGAAGGGCACCACCAGGAGUGGAGCCUGCGGCUUAAUUUGACUCAACACGGGGAAACUUACUAGAUUAGAACACAGGAAUGAUUGACAGAUUGAGAGCUCUUUCUUGAUUCUGUGAGUGGUGGUGCAUGGCCGUUCUUGAUUCGUAGAUUGAUUCGUCUGCUUAAUUGCGAUAACGAGUGAGACCUCACUUUACUAACUAGUCGUUUGGUGCAUCUUUAACGCUAAAGUCUUGCUUAUGCUGGCAUAGGGUUUAUCUUUGUGUUAGUAUAGGUUAAGAUGUUUUUGACUCGCCAACGGACUUCUUAGAAAGAUAAACGGUGUUUUAGCCGUAAGAAAUGAG
This 1741-nucleotide ribosomal RNA is filed under the name Dechela sp. NJAUEriHN128a. RNAcentral describes it as "bacterial SSU rRNA". It matches the Rfam family "Eukaryotic small subunit ribosomal RNA", at positions 56 to 1449 of the family's 1831-position model. Lineage: Eukaryota; Metazoa; Arthropoda; Arachnida; Trombidiformes; Eriophyidae. The record is from RNAcentral.